CACUAUCUCAGCAUGAAUACAUAGUGCUGUGAGGCGAACCGGGGGAACUGAAACAUCUAAGUACCCCGAGGAAAAGAAAUCAACCGAGAUUCCCCCAGUAGCGGCGAGCGAACGGGGAACAGCCCAGAGCCUGAAUCAGCUUGUGUGUCAGUGGAACGGUCUGGAAAGGCCGGCGAUACAGGGUGACAGCCCCGUACACGAAGGCACACAGGUUGUGAGCUCGAUGAGUAGGGCGGGACACGUGAUAUCCUGUCUGAAGAUGGGGGGACCAUCCUCCAAGGCUAAAUACUCCUGACUGACCGAUAGUGAACCAGUACCGUGAGGGAAAGGCGAAAAGAACCCCGGCGAGGGGAGUGAAACAGAACCUGAAACCGUGUACGUACAAGCAGUGGGAGCCUUCGUAAGAGGGUGACUGCGUACCUUUUGUAUAAUGGGUCAGCGACUUAUAUUCUGUAGCAAGGUUAACCGUAUAGGGGAGCCGAAGGGAAACCGAGUCUUAAUUGGGCGUUAAGUUGCAGGGUAUAGACCCGAAACCCGGUGAUCUAGCCAUGGGCAGGUUGAAGGUUGGGUAACACUAACUGGAGGACCGAACCGACUAAUGUUGAAAAAUUAGCGGAUGACCUGUGGCUGGGGGUGAAAGGCCAAUCAAACCGGGAGAUAGCUGGUUCUCCCCGAAAGCUAUUUAGGUAGCGCCUCGUGAACUCAUCUUCGGGGGUAGAGCACUGUUUCGGCUAGGGGGCCAUCCCGGCUUACCAACCCGAUGCAAACUACGAAUACCGAAGAAUGUUAUCACGGGAGACACACGGCGGGUGCUAACGUCCGUCGUGAAGAGGGAAACAACCCAGACCGCCAGCUAAGGUCCCAAAGUCAUGGUUAAGUGGGAAACGAUGUGGGAAGGCACAGACAGCCAGGAUGUUGGCUUAGAAGCAGCCAUCAUUUAAAGAAAGCGUAAUAGCUCACUGGUCGAGUCGGCCUGCGCGGAAGAUGUAACGGGGCUAAACCAUGCACCGAAGCUGCGGCAGCGACACUAUGUGUUGUUGGGUAGGGGAGCGUUCUGUAAGCCUGUGAAGGUGUGCUGUGAGGCAUGCUGGAGGUAUCAGAAGUGCGAAUGCUGACAUAAGUAACGAUAAAGCGGGUGAAAAGCCCGCUCGCCGGAAGACCAAGGGUUCCUGUCCAACGUUAAUCGGGGCAGGGUGAGUCGACCCCUAAGGCGAGGCCGAAAGGCGUAGUCGAUGGGAAACAGGUUAAUAUUCCUGUACUUGGUGUUACUGCGAAGGGGGGACGGAGAAGGCUAUGUUGGCCGGGCGACGGUUGUCCCGGUUUAAGCGUGUAGGUGUGUGUUCCAGGUAAAUCCGGUUCACUUUAACACUGAGGCGUGAUGACGAGGCACUACGGUGCUGAAGUAACAAAUGCCCUGCUUCCAGGAAAAGCCUCUAAGCAUCAGGUAACAUCAAAUCGUACCCCAAACCGACACAGGUGGUCAGGUAGAGAAUACCAAGGCGCUUGAGAGAACUCGGGUGAAGGAACUAGGCAAAAUGGUGCCGUAACUUCGGGAGAAGGCACGCUGACAUGUAGGUGAAGCCCCUGCGGGUGGAGCUGAAGUCAGUCGAAGAUACCAGCUGGCUGCAACUGUUUAUUAAAAACACAGCACUGUGCAAACACGAAAGUGGACGUAUACGGUGUGACGCCUGCCCGGUGCCGGAAGGUUAAUUGAUGGGGUUAUCGCAAGAGAAGCUCCUGAUCGAAGCCCCGGUAAACGGCGGCCGUAACUAUAACGGUCCUAAGGUAGCGAAAUUCCUUGUCGGGUAAGUUCCGACCUGCACGAAUGGCGUAAUGAUGGCCAGGCUGUCUCCACCCGAGACUCAGUGAAAUUGAACUCGCUGUGAAGAUGCAGUGUACCCGCGGCAAGACGGAAAGACCCCGUGAACCUUUACUACAGCUUGACACUGAACAUUGAGCCUUGAUGUGUAGGAUAGGUGGGAGGCUUUGAAGCGUGGACGCCAGUCUGCGUGGAGCCAACCUUGAAAUACCACCCUUUAAUGUUUGAUGUUCUAACCUGGCGCC
Molecule: ribosomal RNA, 2064 nt
Filed under: Cronobacter dublinensis
Lineage: Bacteria; Pseudomonadati; Pseudomonadota; Gammaproteobacteria; Enterobacterales; Enterobacteriaceae
Description: partial 23S ribosomal RNA
Rfam family: Bacterial large subunit ribosomal RNA
Source: RNAcentral